AUCUUGCGCAAUGGGCGAAAGCCUGACGCAGCGACGCCGCGUGAGUGAUGAAGGCCCUCGGGUUGUAAAGCUCUGUGGAGGGGGACGAAUAGGCGCCGGCGACUACCCGGCGUGAUGACGGUACCCCUUUAGCAAGCACCGGCUAACUCUGUGCCAGCAGCCGCGGUAAGACAGAGGGUGCAAACGUUGUUCGGAAUUACUGGGCGUAAAGCGCGUGUAGGCGGCUCGGAAAGUCGGGUGUGAAAGCCCUGGGCUCAACCCAGGAAGUGCACUCGAAACUUCCAAGCUUGAGCUUUGGAGAGGAAGGCGGAAUUCUCGGUGUAGAGGUGAAAUUCGUAGAUAUCGAGAGGAACACCGGUGGCGAAGGCGGCCUUCUGGACAGUGACUGACGCUGAGACGCGAAAGCGUGGGGAGCAAAC
Molecule: ribosomal RNA, 419 nt
Filed under: uncultured bacterium
Lineage: Bacteria
Description: bacterial SSU rRNA
Rfam family: Bacterial small subunit ribosomal RNA
Source: RNAcentral